This 432-nucleotide ribosomal RNA is filed under the name uncultured bacterium. RNAcentral's name for it is "bacterial SSU rRNA". It matches the Rfam family "Bacterial small subunit ribosomal RNA", at positions 46 to 525 of the family's 1533-position model. The record is from RNAcentral.
GCCUAACACAUGCAAGUCGAACGAACCUUCGGGUUAGUGGCGGACGGGUGAGUAACGCGUGAGAAUCUGCCCUCAGGAGGGGGAUAACGGCUGGAAACGGCCGCUAAUACCCCAUAUGCCGCGAGGUGAAAUGAAUUUCGCCUGAGGAUGAGCUCGCGUCUGAUUAGCUAGUUGGUGGGGUAAAGGCCUACCAAGGCAUCGAUCAGUAGCUGGUCUGAGAGGAUGAUCAGCCACACUGGGACUGAGACACGGCCCAGACUCCUACGGGAGGCAGCAGUGGGGAAUUUUCCGCAAUGGGCGAAAGCCUGACGGAGCAACGCCGCGUGAGGGAUGGAGGCCUCUGGGCUGUAAACCUCUUUUAUCAAGGAAGAAGAUCUGACGGUACUUGAUGAAUAAGCCACGGCUAAUUCCGUGCCAGCCGCCGCGGUAAUA